Camelina sativa (false flax) is the source of this 160-nucleotide non-coding RNA. The record is from RefSeq and is a predicted model, not a curated record. NCBI's taxonomy places the organism in Eukaryota, Viridiplantae, Streptophyta, Magnoliopsida, Brassicales, Brassicaceae.
UCACGAUAGGAGAAAACUUACAUGCACAGACGAAGAGAAGAAGAUGCAAUCUCAGGCUUCCGGAUGACCAAAUGUAUAAUGAUGAAGAAGACUACACAAGAGUGUCAUUUAGUGCCUAAGAAGACUAGAAUCUUACCCCGCGGGAUGCGAUGGUUCACAC